AAGAAUUUUUUUAUGUUUUUAAUGAAAACAAGACAAAAAUACAAAGUAAGUCAUUUUUUGCUGUGUGACUCCAUUGAAUGUUCUUGUGUGAUAAAGAAAGUCUCUCUCUUUGUGUGUGAUGUAGAUUAAAUAUGACCGGGCCAAAAUGGUCACAGCAGUAGGUCAAAAUCAAAUACAAGAACAUUCUGCAGAAUGCAGUGAAAAAGAAUACCCAGAGACAAGGCACGGGUGGUGGGUCACCAAAAGCUGAGCUCACCCCAGCAGAGGCCAGCUUUGGAGCUAAAUAAAGGCAGGCCUGUUGGAGGGGAUCCCUGGGGGAAAAGAGACAAGCAUAGGUCCCUCCCAAGAUGCCACCCGCUUCAAACAAGUGUCUGGCAGCACUGUGUUCCUGUUAAAGCCACCAGCACGAGCACCAGACGAUGCUGAUCCAGUGAGUACUCCAUCAAAGGCCUGGCAUGUCUUGUCUACUAGCUUCAAUAUGAAUCUGAUUAAAUGUGAUAGGGUCAAGGCCCCAUUUCAUCAGCACAUAACGACGACGAUGAUGAUGAGGAGACCAUCUCUCUGGAUUCCAAAAGGCAUAAGGACCCAGUGUCAUUGGUGCACUGGACUGCACACACAUAAGGAUAAAAG
This is a long non-coding RNA of Misgurnus anguillicaudatus (oriental weatherfish), 630 nucleotides long. RefSeq lists it as uncharacterized. The record is from RefSeq and is a predicted model, not a curated record. NCBI's taxonomy places the organism in Eukaryota, Metazoa, Chordata, Actinopteri, Cypriniformes, Cobitidae.